This 468-nucleotide ribosomal RNA is filed under the name uncultured bacterium. RNAcentral's name for it is "partial 16S ribosomal RNA". It matches the Rfam family "Bacterial small subunit ribosomal RNA", at positions 28 to 507 of the family's 1533-position model. The record is from RNAcentral.
GACGAACGCUGGCGGCGUGCUUAACACAUGCAAGUCGAACGGAAAGGCCCUGCUUUUGUGGGGUGCUCGAGUGGCGAACGGGUGAGUAACACGUGAGUAACCUGCCCUUGACUUUGGGAUAACUUCAGGAAACUGGGGCUAAUACCGGAUAGGAGCUCCUGCUGCGUGGUGGUGGUUGGAAAGUUUCGGCGGUUGGGGAUGGACUCGCGGCUUAUCAGCUUGUUGGUGGGGUAGUGGCUUACCACGGCUUUGACGGGUAGCCGGCCUGAGAGGGUGACCGGCCACAUUGGGACUGCGAUACGGCCCAGACUCCUACGGGAGGCAGCAGUGGGGAAUAUUGCACAAUGGGCGGAAGCCUGAUGCAGCAACGCCGCGUGCGGGAUGACGGCCUUCGGGUUGUAAACCGCUUUCGCCUGUGACGAAGCGUGAGUGACGGUAAUGGGUAAAGAAGCACCGGCUAACUACGUG